RNAcentral lists this unclassified non-coding RNA (375 nucleotides) under Hevea brasiliensis (rubber tree). Lineage: Eukaryota; Viridiplantae; Streptophyta; Magnoliopsida; Malpighiales; Euphorbiaceae. The record is from RNAcentral.
GUAUAGCUCGACUCCGAUAUAGCCUGCAGCCAAAACAUGUGUCAAGACGUUAUUCACUAAACAAAGCACGCUUGAAUUUUAUCAUAGUAACGUCAUUUAGCAAACUGCCAACAAUACAGUUGGCAUUAAAUGCUCCCAAAAUAUAUUUAAGGUUUGAAAAUUUACUCAAAACGUCCAAAGUAAAACAAGAUUAGACCUAUUGAAAUUCUUAUUUUACAAAAUGGUAACACCACAAGGCAUUUUUCAAAAUUGUACUAGUUAAACUAACACAUUUCUCUUUGAAAAAUAAAUAAGAUGAAAUGCAUUUCUAAAACAAAAGUUGAACACUCUUAGAUAAGAAGCAAACACUUACCCCCACAGGGUAAGUCCCCAGGU